AGAGUUUGAUCAUGGCUCAGAGUGAACGCUAGUGGCGUGCUUAACACAUGCAAGUCAAACGGACGAUAUUUGUGCUUGCACAAAUAAAGUUAGUGGCAAACGGGUGAGUAAUACAUGGGAAUUUUCCUUGCAGUACGGAAUAACUAUUGGAAACAGUAGCUAAUACCGUAUAUUGCCGAGAGGUGAAAGAUUUAUCGCUGCAAGAUAAGCCCAUGCAAGAUUAGCUUGUUGGUAAGGUAAUGGCUUACCAAGGCUACGAUCUUUAGCUGGUUUGAGAGGAUGAUCAGCCACACUGGAACUUAGACACGGUCCAGACUCCUACGGGAGGCAGCAGUGGGGAAUAUUGGACAAUGGGCGAAAGCCUGAUCCAGCGACGUCACGUGAAUGAUGAAGGCCUUAGGGUUGUAAAAUUCUUUUAGUGGAGAAGAUAAUGACAGUAUCCACAGAAAAAGUCCCGGCUAACUUCGUGCCAGCAGCCGCGGUAAU
This 486-nucleotide ribosomal RNA is filed under the name uncultured Alphaproteobacteria bacterium. RNAcentral's name for it is "bacterial SSU rRNA". It matches the Rfam family "Bacterial small subunit ribosomal RNA", at positions 8 to 524 of the family's 1533-position model. The record is from RNAcentral. Lineage: Bacteria; Pseudomonadati; Pseudomonadota; Alphaproteobacteria.